UGAAGACCAAACAUCUGUGGUGAAGUUCAUCGCGGAGUGGUUAUGAAGAAGCUCGUGAAUAUGAUCUGUCAUACGGUUGUAUAACUCCGAAUUACUUUAGGCACUGAUAGAACUGUUCUGUAAUGACGGAAGAUCAGCGCAGAAUUCACCAGACUUGUGUCGAUGGACCUGAGCAAGUCCUUUUAUGAGGGUCUUGACAAACACGCCUCAAAGCUGCUGUAUUUGUACCGCUCGAGGCGCCAUGCAGACAUCGCAGAAAGGAGUGCCAUACUGGAGAGCCUGGAUAAAAAUGCAUCAAAUCACAGGAAGAGGGUUGCAGUACAGCUGGGGCUGCCACUGUCCAUGCGGGAGAAUCCAUCUCAGUUCUUACUGAUCUGUGAGCACACAGAUUCUGAAGAAGAGUUAAUCAAGGGCGUGACUGUUGGAAUCAGUACAGUUGUGGAUGACGCG
Ictalurus punctatus (channel catfish) is the source of this 450-nucleotide long non-coding RNA. NCBI's taxonomy places the organism in Eukaryota, Metazoa, Chordata, Actinopteri, Siluriformes, Ictaluridae. The record is from Ensembl.